Long non-coding RNA from Lolium perenne, 3369 nucleotides. RefSeq lists it as uncharacterized. Lineage: Eukaryota; Viridiplantae; Streptophyta; Magnoliopsida; Poales; Poaceae. The record is from RefSeq and is a predicted model, not a curated record.
AGGGACACCCACGGUGAAAACCCUAGAGGCACACUCACCCAAUCCCAGCCGCCGCGCCCCAUCCCCUCGCGAGUCUCCUUCCAAUCCCCACGUGUGCUCCUCCCCCGUGUCCGGCGGCGCUGCUCCAUCUCCCUGGCCGCCACCCACCUUCUCCUCCUCCCAAGCCCCGUAUCCCCACCUCGUCGGCCGGCCUCCUCCAUGGAGCUCGAGCUCUGGAGACCCGAGGCUGGGUGAGCAUGGAGUAGCAGCAGCAGUGGAGGCCCUCAUGGUCAUCUCCGAUGAGGCGGAGGAGGAAGCCCUCCAGGGCGCCGUCGGUCCGGAGGCCGCCACCACGGGCGGCGACGCUAGAGGAGCAUGAGGAUCCAAGAGAUGGGCCGUGGGCGCGGUGUGCGGGGGACUGGUCUGCGGUGGGUGAGCGCUCUGUCCCUCGCCCCCGACGUGCUCCUCUCCUCUCUCUCCAUAUCCUCGUCCUCCUGUUCUAGCCUAGUAUUGCCUGGCAUCCAGACCCAAACUUGGAAUGAGGUAACCUUGAGGUAACCUGUUGAGACCUGCUCCAGACCCAGCCGUCCACUAUCAAGAUUUGAGAAAUAUUACUCUGAAGAAGAUUGUGGUGUAAGAUUAUGAUUGGUUUCUGGGUUAGAAAUGUAUAAAGGAAUUCUGCUAACUCUAGAACCAUAUGACCACUAAUUUUUCUUUAUAAUGUUCCUACCUAGGUUCUAUUAGUUUAGAUCAGCUUCAUGUUAUUAGAAUCGGCUAAUGUGAGAGAUCAGUUAAAUCAUUAUCGAUGAAGCGCUCGUCAACAGUGUACCUACAUGUUAUUAAAAUCGGCUAAUGUGAGAGAUCAGCUUCUUUGGUUUCCAUUUUUCUUAGGCUGGCGUGCAUACACCCAUGUUAAAUGUGAUGCUUGAGAUGUAUAUUAUGAAGUUUGUCUGUUGACAUGUUUAUCGAAGAAAAAGAAAUGUACUGCUAUGCUUGAAAGGACUCCCAAUAGAAUACCUUGUGUUUUAUCUCCGAUCUUAAUCUUAUUGGAGUAUAGCGAUUAGAAUUGUCUUUGUUCAUUAGCAGGACAUAGCUAGACCAGACAUAUUUGACCAAAUUAUUAUAAUUCCCAUAGACUCAUAGUUAACUUCUAUGGCUGCAUAUGCUGGUCAAACAUAUCCUACUUGCUGCAUAGAUAAGUGUUUUUCUUACAGUUUUGUAGUUAAACUACAUGUGGUGAUACCUUCUGUUUUAUUGGCAGUUUUCUUUCUGGUUAUACCUUAUGUUUUAAUGUCAGUUUUCUUGGUGGUUACCCAUUGCUUUAUCCGUAUAUGUGCAAAAGUUCUGUGGCAAGUAGCAGGUUUGCUCCCUUUCCAGGUGUUAAUUGGUGACUGCAUAAAAUAAUGACUAAGAAAAUCAAGUACUCUUAGAUUCAGUAUUACUUGCUGUACAUCAAGGUUACCUCAUUUUAUAUGACCAUUUCUUGGCUGAAUUCUUGGUGAAGUUAUGCUUGCUGGGUGGUCUGCUCCUCCGGAGAUGAUUGAAAGCUGAUCUACCUCGCAAUGAAUAACAACACCCACUUAAAGUUCACGGCCAUACAGAAUAUCAACUGAAAUUCAUAGCGAUAUACAUGUAUUUUUUCCCGGCUGGGGCUCAUCAUGGUGGUCGUUGUGAGCUGAAAGGCAUGGGGGCGUCCAGACCAUCACUCCCCCCCUACAGUUGUUUGACAUGGGUCUAAAGAUCUUCGUUCCUCGCCUAGAAGCCCUUGCCAAGUUUGCUUUUGGGAUGGGUUUGCCUCAGAUGUGAGGUUCCAGAAUUGGAGCAGAAGGUUGAGCAAUGGUAGCGAAUGACAUAGUCGCUUUAAAUUUUGCACUCCCUUCUUUCAUACAUUUAUUUAGCCAAUUGGAUUGUCUCUGUUGAGGUAAUGCUUUUUCUGCAGAUAUUUGUUAAUUGGGUUCUGAAAUAAAAAUCAGUGAUCUAAGAUAAAUAAGAGGUAUUAGGCUGUUUAUUGAAAUAUCACCACACUCCAGUACCAGUGGAUUCCCACAAAUCUUGCAGGUUCAGGGGCAGGCCACACCAACGGCAGAAGCUAGAGCUCAGAAAUUGUUUGGUAUCCAUCAUCAACCUUUGCACCUAUUCGUGAUAUAUGCGGCUUUGCUAGAUGUACCUUCAUCCAUGGUUCUUCCAACUGUGGUUGAUGAUCCGUAGGAGCUACCGGCAUCAUCUGAUGCAUCUGGAAUAAAUAAGAGCUGUAGAAAGUACAGAAUGAUGAUACUUAAGAGAGAUGUCAGGCAUCACUGGAUUUAUCAGUGGAAGAUGUUGUGGUGGCGUGGUCCAUCACUCCCGGCACCGUUCAGCGAGGCACCAUGGAUCCUUCUUUUUAAUCCAAUCUUACUAGCCUAUUUGGUAUUGCUGCCUCUGUAGAGAUGCGUCGUUCUGAGGGCUGGCAUUAUCUACGGCAGUAGCGAACCAAUGUUGAAGCUCUCAUGGGCGCGAGGCAUAUAACCAAGCAGGUUAAGUCUGGACAGAAUGUCAUGCCAUAUCUGUUUAGAGAAGGAACAUUGAGUGAGCAAAUGGGGUAUAGACUCAACCUCCUGACCGAUCACAUAAAGCGCGGGUGUCAUUAUCAUUCAAGUCAUGGCGUUUGCGCCUUUCUACUGUCCAACAUCGGUCAAGCGAGGCCUGCCAAGCAAAUAUUUUGCAUUUGAGACGGCUCCAACAUUCCUAGAUUGAGUUGUGAUGAGGAGAGAAUAUGGAGCCUUCAAAAAAUGCUUUGUAAGCAGAUUUAGCAGAGUAUGAGCCUGACUCUGUGAGGUUCCAAGUUAAGGUUUCCUGCGAGCCCGGAUGCAGCUCCUGCUCAACAGUGAUGUUUGCUAAGUGAAGAAAUAGAAUGAUAGCUUCAGUGGAGAGGGUUCCACUAAUAUCCCUGAUCCAGGCAUUCUCUGGUAAGGCUGAGGCGACUGACCGGCACUUGAUGACACGAGGACUGAGAGUAGCAACCACGACAGGGGUAAGAUCUGCAAUACUCUGCCCAGCAAGCCAUCUAUCCGACCAGAAAGGCAGGUUAGUGCCAUUACCAAGGGUGGCUGUAGUUACUGCAUAAACAAGGGCUUCGAUGUGGCGACUAAGAUGGAUGUGAAAGUUGGUCCAAGGGCGAAACAGUUGCCUAAUAGUACUUCAUUUCAGGAGAUAUUGGUGGCCCAAUCUUGAUAACCAUAUAUUCCUUUUUAAUAUAAAAACAUAAAUGUGGUUCCAUGUUAGAGAUAUGCUUAGAAGUAGCACCAUGUUCAUGUUUUUGUUCCGGUGGGAAACAUAAUUUAUUUCUAAAAAUGUAUUCAAUACUAAAUGACCAAAUGGACGAUGCAUCACUUGGUGCUUAUGUUUUGGCUA